This 355-nucleotide transfer-messenger RNA is filed under the name Deltaproteobacteria bacterium. It matches the Rfam family "transfer-messenger RNA". From Rfam's summary of the family: Bacterial tmRNA, also known as 10Sa RNA or SsrA, is named for its dual tRNA and mRNA-like properties. The record is from RNAcentral. RNAcentral also lists the same sequence under 1 other name. Lineage: Bacteria; Pseudomonadati; Myxococcota; Myxococcia.
GGGGGCGAUACGGUUUCGACGGGCGGAUGGAGGUCGUCGUUGCAUGCCGGGGUGUCGGACCCCGUAAAAACCGGCAAAAUUGUGAGUGCGAAUAGCACCAACUACGCCCUCGCCGCAUAGUCGGUAGGGCCGUCCGCCCCGGGCUCCUCCCACCGGCCCGGGAACGGGCGCCGUUAAGGCGGGAUGGUCGCGCCGAGUAGUUCCGGCGGCGCGGCGAGAAAAAGGAACCUGGCUCCGGAGAGGAGUUUGCGGGCGGCCCGGCCCCGGAGCGAGAUCAAGGGAAGCCCACGCUAAGCAUGUAGACGCGGCGGCCGAAAACGUUCGGACCCGGGUUCGACUCCCGGCGCCUCCACUA